AGUGAACGCUGGCGGUAGGCCUAACACAUGCAAGUCGAACGGCAGCACAGUAAGAGCUUGCUCUUACGGGUGGCGAGUGGCGGACGGGUGAGGAAUACAUCGGAAUCUACUUUUUCGUGGGGGAUAACGUAGGGAAACUUACGCUAAUACCGCAUACGACCUACGGGUGAAAGCAGGGGAUCUUCGGACCUUGCGCGAUUGAAUGAGCCGAUGUCGGAUUAGCUAGUUGGCGGGGUAAAGGCCCACCAAGGCGACGAUCCGUAGCUGGUCUGAGAGGAUGAUCAGCCACACUGGAACUGAGACACGGUCCAGACUCCUACGGGAGGCAGCAGUGGGGAAUAUGGGACAAUGGGCGCAAGCCUGAUCCAGCCAUACCGCGUGGGUGAAGAAGGCCUUCGGGUUGUAAAGCCCUUUUGUUGGGAAAGAAAAGCAGCAGGUUAAGACCCCGCUGUUCGGACGGUACCCAAAGAAGAAGCACCGGCUAACUUCGU
This 491-nucleotide ribosomal RNA is filed under the name uncultured bacterium. RNAcentral's name for it is "partial 16S ribosomal RNA". It matches the Rfam family "Bacterial small subunit ribosomal RNA", at positions 29 to 506 of the family's 1533-position model. The record is from RNAcentral.